RNAcentral lists this ribosomal RNA (253 nucleotides) under uncultured bacterium. RNAcentral describes it as "partial 16S ribosomal RNA". It matches the Rfam family "Bacterial small subunit ribosomal RNA", at positions 524 to 776 of the family's 1533-position model. The record is from RNAcentral.
UACAGAGGUGGCAAGCGUUGUUCGGAAUUACUGGGCGUAAAGGGCGCGUAGGCGGCCAUCUAAGUCAGACGUGAAAUCCCCCGGCUUAACCUGGGAACUGCGUCUGAUACUGGAAGGCUUGAGUAUGGGAGGGGGUAGCGGAAUUCCCAGUGUAGCGGUGAAAUGCGUAGAUAUUGGGAGGAACACCGGUGGCGAAGGCGGCUACCUGGACCGGUUCUGACGCUGAUGCGCGAAAGCGUGGGUAGCAAACAGG